Molecule: ribosomal RNA, 460 nt
Filed under: uncultured bacterium
Lineage: Bacteria
Description: partial 16S ribosomal RNA
Rfam family: Bacterial small subunit ribosomal RNA
Source: RNAcentral
CCUACGGGUGGCAGCAGUGAGGAAUAUUGGUCAAUGGACGCAAGUCUGAACCAGCCACGCCGCGUGCAGGAAGACGGCUCUAUGAGUUGUAAACUGCUUUUGUACGGGGGUAAACGCAGCUAUGUGUAUCUGUCUGAAAGUAUCGUACGAAUAAGGAUCGGCUAACUCCGUGCCAGCAGCCGCGGUAAUACGGAGGAUUCGAGCGUUAUCCGGAUUUAUUGGGUUUAAAGGGAGCGUAGGCGGUCGGAUAAGUUAGAGGUGAAAUCCCGAGGCUCAACUGCAGAAUUGCAUCUGAUACUGUUCGGCUAGAGAGUAGUAGCGGUAGGCGGAAUGUAUGGUGUAGCGGUGAAAUGCUUAGAGAUCAUGAAGAACACCGAUUGCGAAGGCAGCUUACCAGACUGCAACUGACGGUGAGGCACGAAAGCGUGGGGAGCAAACAGGAUUAGAUACCCCAGUAGUC